GUACACGCUGUGACUAGCAUAUCAAUAAGCGGAGGAAAAGAAACUAACAAGGAUUCCCCUAGUAACGGCGAGUGAAGCGGGAAGAGCUCAAAUUUGAAAUCUUAAAGGGUUUCCCUUUACGAAUUGUAGUUUAAAGAAGUGUUUUCUGUUGAGGUUUUGGUAAAAGUUCUUUGGAAUAGGACAUCAUAGAGGGUGAGAAUCCCGUAUUUGACCUUUACUUUCAACUUUGUGAUACACUUUCAAAGAGUCGGAUUGUUUGGGAAUGCAGUCCAAAAUGGGUGGUAAAUUUCAUCUAAAGCUAAAUAUUGGCGAGAGACCGAUAGCGAACAAGUACCGUGAGGGAAAGAUGAAAAGAACUUUGAAAAGAGAGUUAAACAGUACGUGAAAUUGUCAAAAGGGAAGCGUUUGACACCAGUGUUGUUUUUCUGAAAAUCAAUUAAAGAACUGUUUAUGCUAAGUUGUUUAGACUUUAUCAGCUAACUGUUUAGUUUUGAGCUUUUCUUUAAUGCACUUUUCAGUUAACAAGUCAACAUCAAUUUCUUUUGCUGUAAAAAAGCUUGAGGAAGGUGGCUUGAGAUUCGUCUUAAGUGUUUAUAGCCUCUUGCCUAUGCAGUCGGAGAGAUUGAGGUCUGCAGCGUAGAUCCUUCGGGGCUAAAUGCACUUUGUGCUAAGUUAUAGCAUUUUAUAGACAACUUGUUGACUAUGAUUUGUCUUGUAGCUUACUCGCUUAUGUUAUUUUACCUACGCUUAGGAUGUUGAGUCGUAGAGCACGCAG
RNAcentral lists this ribosomal RNA (775 nucleotides) under uncultured Neocallimastigales. Its description in RNAcentral is "partial large subunit ribosomal RNA". It matches the Rfam family "Eukaryotic large subunit ribosomal RNA", at positions 22 to 628 of the family's 3401-position model. Lineage: Eukaryota; Fungi; Neocallimastigomycota; Neocallimastigomycetes; Neocallimastigales. The record is from RNAcentral.